CCUACGGGUGGCAGCAGUGGGGAAUAUUGGGCAAUGGGCGCAAGCCUGACCCAGCAACGCCGCGUGAAGGAAGAAGUCUCUCGGUUUGUAAACUUCUUUUAUCCGGGACGAAACAAAUGACGGUACCGAAUGAAGAAGCCACGGCUAACUACGUGCCAGCAGCCGCGGUAAUACGUAGGGGGCAAGCGUUAUCCGGAUUUACUGGGUGUAAAGGGCGCGUAGGCGGGGGAGUAAGUCAGACGUGAAAUGCCGGGGCUCAACCCCGGAACUGCGUUGGAAACUGUUCUUCUUGAGUGCAGGAGAGGCAGGCGGAAUGCCGUGUGUAGCGGUGAAAUGCGUAGAUAUACGGAGGAACACCAGUGGCGAAGGCGGCCUACUGGACAUUAACUGACGCUGAGGCGCGAAAGCGUGGGGAGCAAACAGGAUUAGAUACCCUUGUAGUC
RNAcentral lists this ribosomal RNA (443 nucleotides) under uncultured bacterium. RNAcentral describes it as "partial 16S ribosomal RNA". It matches the Rfam family "Bacterial small subunit ribosomal RNA", at positions 338 to 795 of the family's 1533-position model. The record is from RNAcentral.